CGUGUAGGCGGAUUGGAAAGUCAGAUGUGAAAUCCCCGGGCUCAACCUGGGAACUGCAUUUGAAACUUCUUGUCUUGAGUGUCGGAGAGGGUAGCGGAAUUCCUGGUGUAGAGGUGAAAUUCGUAGAUAUCAGGAGGAACACCGGUGGCGAAGGCGGCUACCUGGACGACUACUGACGCUGAGACGCGAAAGCGUGGGGAGCAAACA
This 207-nucleotide ribosomal RNA is filed under the name uncultured bacterium. Its description in RNAcentral is "partial 16S ribosomal RNA". It matches the Rfam family "Bacterial small subunit ribosomal RNA", at positions 568 to 774 of the family's 1533-position model. The record is from RNAcentral.